UAGGGAAUCUUCCGCAAUGGGCGAAAGCCUGCCGGAGCAACGCCGCGUGAGUGAUGAAGGUCUUCGGAUCGUAAAACUCUGUUAUUAGGGAAGAACAAAUGUGUAAGUAACUAUGCACGUCUCGACGGUACCUAAUCAGAAAGCCACGGCUAACUACGUGCCAGCAGCCGCGGUAAUACGUAGGUGGCAAGCGUUAUCCGGAAUUAUUGGGCGUAAAGCGCGCGUAGGCGUUUUUUUAAGUCUGAUGUGAAAGCCCACGGCUCAACCGUGGCGGGUCAUUGGAAACUGGAAAACUUGAGUGCAGGAGAGGAAAGUGGAAUUCCAUGUGUGGCGGUGAAAUGCGCAGAGAUAUAGAGGAACACCAGUGGCGAAGGCGACUUUCUGGUCUGUAACUGACGCUAAUGUGCGAAAGCGUGAUGAUCAAACAGG
RNAcentral lists this ribosomal RNA (429 nucleotides) under Actinomycetes bacterium. RNAcentral's name for it is "Actinobacteria bacterium partial 16S ribosomal RNA". It matches the Rfam family "Bacterial small subunit ribosomal RNA", at positions 355 to 776 of the family's 1533-position model. The record is from RNAcentral. Lineage: Bacteria; Bacillati; Actinomycetota; Actinomycetes.